GUGAGUCUCAAACUCUAACAUUUCAAAUGUGUUUAAUCAAACUGAAACAAGAUGGACAACAUGAGGCGACAUUCACUGGGGUACAGCUCUGUUCUUCAACAACUUGUGCCAUCAUCUCACAAUGAAGUGUAGAGGACCAGUCUUUAUGUACAUAGUUUUACACACACAAGCUAAUAUCCACUAUCUGUAUACAACAUACACAAGACGUUUAGUACUGUAUUCCCGAACAGCUUAGGAGGGAAAUGCAUAGUUUGAUAGUGUCACAAUGCCACACACUGUCUCUACAUGGAAAAAUGAACAUGGAGUUUGGUCCUUAAAAUAGACACCAAAAAUAAAAACAAAUCUAAACAUCGUUAUAUAUAUGUAUAUAUGUGUGUGUGUGUG
Molecule: long non-coding RNA, 384 nt
Organism: Sinocyclocheilus anshuiensis
Lineage: Eukaryota; Metazoa; Chordata; Actinopteri; Cypriniformes; Cyprinidae
Exons: 3
Source: RefSeq, a predicted model, not a curated record